CCCUUAGAUAUCCUAGGCUGCACGCGAGCUACAAUGGUAUAUAUAAAAGGUUGCUGCUCUGAGAAGACUGGCAAUACCCUGAUAUAUAUCGUAUUUGGAAUAGAUUUUUGUAAUUAUCAAUCUUGAACGAGGAAUUCCUAGUAAAAAUAUUUCAUCAUAAUGUUUUGAUUGUGUCCCUGCCCUUUGUACACACCGCCCGUCGCUCCUACCGAUUGAAUAUUCCGGUGAGAAGAUAGGAGAAAAAUCUUUUGAUUUUUUGAAUAUUUUUGAACCUUGAUAUUUAGAGGAAGGUGAAGUCGUAACA
Molecule: ribosomal RNA, 304 nt
Filed under: uncultured eukaryote
Lineage: Eukaryota
Description: partial 18S ribosomal RNA
Rfam family: Eukaryotic small subunit ribosomal RNA
Source: RNAcentral